This 171-nucleotide non-coding RNA is filed under the name Cavia porcellus (domestic guinea pig). The record is from RNAcentral. Lineage: Eukaryota; Metazoa; Chordata; Mammalia; Rodentia; Caviidae.
GGCUGGUCCGACGGCAGUGGGUUAUCAGAACUUACUAACAUUAGUGUCACCAAAGUUGGUAUACCACCCCCCACUGCUAAAAAAAAACAUUUAGGAUCCUGCUAAAACAUUAGGGUUCGGUUUUGUUUUGUUUUCUUAGGGUCUCGCUGUUGCAGCUCAGGCUGGCCUUGA